ACGGGGCGCAGCAGGCGCGAAAACUUUACAAUGCGGGAAACCGCGAUAAGGGGACACUGAGUGCCAGCAUAUUAUGUUGGCUGUCCACAUGUAUAAAAACCAUGUGUUAGCAAGGGCCGGGCAAGACCGGUGCCAGCCGCCGCGGUAACACCGGCGGCCCGAGUGGUGAUCACUUUUAUUGGGUCUAAAGGGUCCGUAGCCGGUUUGAUCAGUCUUCUGGGAAAUCUGACAGCUCAACUGUUAGGCUUUCAGGGGAUACUGUUAGACUUGGGACCGGGAGAGGUAAGAGGUACUACAGGGGUAGGAGUGAAAUCUUGUAAUCCCUGUGGGACCACCAGUGGCGAAGGCGUCUUACCAGAACGGGUCCGACGGUGAGGGACGAAAGCUGGGGGCACGAACCGGAUUAGAUACCCGGGUAGUCCCAGCCGUAAACGAUGCUCGCUAGGUGUCAGGGACGGUGCGACCGUUUCUGGUGCCGUAGGAAGCCGUGAAGCGAGCCACCUGGAAGUACGACCGCAAGGC
This 522-nucleotide ribosomal RNA is filed under the name uncultured archaeon. RNAcentral describes it as "bacterial SSU rRNA". It matches the Rfam family "Archaeal small subunit ribosomal RNA", at positions 325 to 849 of the family's 1478-position model. The record is from RNAcentral.